UGUAAAGUAAGCUAAGUUAAAAGCUUUUGGGCUCAUGCCCCGACCAUGGCAUUAUAUGCCCUUUAUUA
Molecule: transfer RNA, 68 nt
Filed under: Puncturella cf. parvinobilis
Lineage: Eukaryota; Metazoa; Mollusca; Gastropoda; Lepetellida; Fissurellidae
Description: tRNA-Met
Source: RNAcentral